This 529-nucleotide ribosomal RNA is filed under the name uncultured bacterium. Its description in RNAcentral is "bacterial SSU rRNA". It matches the Rfam family "Bacterial small subunit ribosomal RNA", at positions 777 to 1304 of the family's 1533-position model. The record is from RNAcentral.
AAUAGAUACCCCGGUAGUCCACGCCGUAAACGAUGAGUGCUAAGUGUUAGAGGGUUUCCACCCUUUAGUGCUGCAGCUAACGCAUUAAGCACUCCGCCUGGGGAGUACGGCCGCAAGGCUGAAACUCAAAGGAAUUGACGGGGGCCCGCACAAGCGGUGGAGCAUGUGGUUUAAUUCGAAGCAACGCGAAGAACCUUACCAGGUCUUGACAUCCUCUGCCAACCCUAGAGAUAGGGCGUUCCCCUUCGGGGGACAGAGUGACAGGUGGUGCAUGGUUGUCGUCAGCUCGUGUCGUGAGAUGUUGGGUUAAGUCCCGCAACGAGCGCAACCCUUGAUCUUAGUUGCCAGCAUUCAGUUGGGCACUCUAAGGUGACUGCCGGUGACAAACCGGAGGAAGGUGGGGAUGACGUCAAAUCAUCAUGCCCCUUAUGACCUGGGCUACACACGUGCUACAAUGGAUGGUACAAAGAGCUGCGAACCCGCGAGGGUAAGCGAAUCUCAUAAAGCCAUUCUCAGUUCGGAUUGUAGG